GACGAACGCUGGCGGCGUGCUUAACACAUGCAAGUCACGGGGGCCCGCAAGGGUAACCGGCGAACGGGUGCGUAACACGUGAACAACCUGCCCUCGUGUGGGGGAUAGCCAUGCUAACGCGUGGGUAAUACCGCAUACGUUCCCCUGGAGGAGUCUCUGGGGGGAGGAAAGCUCCGGCGCACGGGGAGGGGUUCGCGGCCUAUCAGCUAGUUGGCGGGGUAAUGGCCCACCAAGGCGACGACGGGUAGCUGGUCGAGAGGAUGGCCAGCCACAUUGGGACUGAGAGACGGCCCAGACUCCUACGGGAGGCAGCAGUGGGGAAUCUUGCGCAAUGGCCGAAAGGCUGACGCAGCGACGCCGCGUGUGGGAUGAAGCAUUUCGGUGUGUAAACCACUGUUGCCCGGGACGAACAGCCUUUUUCGAGAGGUCUGACGGUACCGGGUGAGGAAGC
RNAcentral lists this ribosomal RNA (451 nucleotides) under uncultured bacterium. Its description in RNAcentral is "bacterial SSU rRNA". It matches the Rfam family "Bacterial small subunit ribosomal RNA", at positions 28 to 491 of the family's 1533-position model. The record is from RNAcentral.